Caenorhabditis brenneri is the source of this 207-nucleotide non-coding RNA. The record is from Rfam. NCBI's taxonomy places the organism in Eukaryota, Metazoa, Nematoda, Chromadorea, Rhabditida, Rhabditidae.
UACCUGAUUGAUUCUGUCAGCGCGAUAUGCUCAAGUAAAAGAUUAAGCCAUGCAUGCUUUGAUUCAUCAAUGAAAUUGCGUACGGCUCAUUAGAGCAGAUAUCACCUUAUUCGGAAUCCUAUAUGGAUAACUGCGGAAAUACUGGAGCUAAUACAUGCAACUAUACCCCAACGCAAGGCGGGGUGCAAUUAUUAGAACAGACCAAAC